RNAcentral lists this ribosomal RNA (492 nucleotides) under uncultured bacterium. RNAcentral's name for it is "partial 16S ribosomal RNA". It matches the Rfam family "Bacterial small subunit ribosomal RNA", at positions 29 to 507 of the family's 1533-position model. The record is from RNAcentral.
AGUGAACGCUGGCGGUAGGCCUAACACAUGCAAGUCGAACGGCAGCACAGUAAGAGCUUGCUCUUACGGGUGGCGAGUGGCGGACGGUUGCGGAAUACAUCGGAAUCUACUUUUUCGUGGGGGAUAACGUAGGGACACUUACGCUAAUACCGCAUACGACCUACGGGUGAAAGCAGCGGAUCUUCGGACCUUGCGCGAUUGAAUGAGCCGAUGUCGGAUUAGCUAGUUGGGGGGGUAAAGGCCCACCAAGGCGACGAUCCGUAGCUGGUCUGAGAGGAUGAUCAGCCACACUGGAACUGAGACACGGUCCAGACUCCUACGGGAGGCAGCAGUGGGGAAUAUUGGACAAGGGGCGAAAGCCUGAUCCAGCCAUGCCGCGUGGGUGAAGAAGGCUUUCGGAUUGUAAAGCACUUUUAGUGGGGAGGAAGGGCAGUAAGUUAAUACCUUGCUGUUUUGACGUUACCAAAAGAAUAAGCACCGGCUAACUUCGUG